GGUCCUUAUAGCUCAGUGGUAAAGCUGGUACUUAGCAUGCACAAGGAUUUGGGUUCAAUCCCCAGCACCA
Molecule: transfer RNA, 70 nt
Filed under: Marmota monax (woodchuck)
Lineage: Eukaryota; Metazoa; Chordata; Mammalia; Rodentia; Sciuridae
Description: tRNA.Ala
Source: RNAcentral